CCUACGGGAGGCUGCAGUGAGGAAUAUUGGUCAAUGGGCGCGAGCCUGAACCAGCCAAGUAGCGUGAAGGAUGACUGCCCUACGGGUUGUAAACUUCUUUUAUAAAGGAAUAAAGUGAGGCACGAGUGCCUGUUUGUAUGUACUUUAUGAAUAAGGAUCGGCUAACUCCGUGCCAGCAGCCGCGUUAAUACGGAGGAUCCGAGCGUUAUCCGGAUUUAUUGGGGUUAAAGGGAGCGUAGAUGGGUUGUUAAGUCAGUUGUGAAAGUUUGCGGCUCAACCGUAAAAUUGCAAUUGAGACUGGCAGUCUUGAGUACAGUUGAGGUAGGCGGAAUUCGUGGUGUAGCGGUGAAAUGCUUAGAUAUCACGAAGAACACCGAUGGCGAAGGCAGCUUACUAAACUGCAACUGACAUUGAUGCUCGAAAGUGUGGGUAGCAAACAGGAUUAGAUACCCUAGUAGUC
This 460-nucleotide ribosomal RNA is filed under the name uncultured bacterium. RNAcentral describes it as "partial 16S ribosomal RNA". It matches the Rfam family "Bacterial small subunit ribosomal RNA", at positions 338 to 795 of the family's 1533-position model. The record is from RNAcentral.